UACGGGGGGGGCAAGUGUUGUUCGGAAUUACUGGGCGUAAAGGGUUUGUAGGUGGCUUGCUAAGUCAGACGUGAAAUCCCUCAGCUUAACUGGGGAACUGCGUCUGAUACUGGCGAGCUUGAGUGCAGGAGAGGAACGCGGAAUUCCAGGUGUAGCGGUGAAAUGCGUAGAUAUCUGGAGGAACACCGGUGGCGAAGGCGGCGUUCUGGACUGUAACUGACACUGAGAAACGAAAGCCAGGGUAGCAAACGGG
Molecule: ribosomal RNA, 253 nt
Filed under: uncultured bacterium
Lineage: Bacteria
Description: partial 16S ribosomal RNA
Rfam family: Bacterial small subunit ribosomal RNA
Source: RNAcentral